Molecule: ribosomal RNA, 205 nt
Filed under: uncultured bacterium
Lineage: Bacteria
Description: partial 16S ribosomal RNA
Rfam family: Bacterial small subunit ribosomal RNA
Source: RNAcentral
UACGGGGGGGGGCAAGCGUUGUUCGGAAUUACUGGGCGUAAAGGGCUCGUAGGCGGCCAACUAAGUCCGACGUGAAAUCCCCAGGCUUAACCUGGGAACUGCGUCGGAUACUGGAUGGCUUGAAUCCGGGAGAGGGAUGCGGAAUUCCAGGUGUAGCGGUGAAAUGCGUAGAUAUCUGGAGGAACACCGGUGGCGAAGGCGGCGA